GCCUACCAAGCCAACAAUCGAAAGCCAAGUUUGACAGAUCAUAUGGCCACAUUGGGAAUGAGAUAUCCCAAGUAGAGAACUCUACCAGCAGUCGAGAAUAUUAGUCAAUGCUCGCAAGAGUGAACUAGCUAACUGGAAUCAUGAGUGUGUCACUCGUGAAUUGUAUAAGGAAAAAUAAUGAUGUCACUUAUACAAAUAGUGUUGUCAAAAGCUGAGCGUUAAUCAUCCUGAUCAGGCGUAAAGGGUUUGUAGGCAGCUUUAAACAAUUAAACAACAAUUAAAGAUUGAAUCAAAUAGAAGUCAAGAGAAUUUCUAGACUAGGGUUGAUAUCCGUAUAAACUAGGGAGAAUUCUAAUUAGCGAAGGCACUUUUCUAUCUAAUGAUUGACGCUGAGAAACGAAGGGGAGGAUAGACAAUAGGAUUUGAUACCCUGGCAUCCCUCCCUGUAAACGAUGAAUGGUAGUUGCUAGUCAUAAUGAUUAGUGGCGAUGCUAACGCAUUAACCAUUCCGCCUUGUGAGUACGACUGCAAAGUUGAAAACAAAAAAAUUAGUCGGUUUCGGAGCAA
RNAcentral lists this ribosomal RNA (567 nucleotides) under Hysterangium strobilus. RNAcentral describes it as "partial small subunit ribosomal RNA". It matches the Rfam family "Bacterial small subunit ribosomal RNA", at positions 263 to 928 of the family's 1533-position model. The record is from RNAcentral. Lineage: Eukaryota; Fungi; Basidiomycota; Agaricomycetes; Hysterangiales; Hysterangiaceae.